AUGGAUGCACUUUUGUUGCAGAGUAGGAAACAAAUAGUGAGUCAGGGAGCUUUAUUUUUUUCCUUUUAUAGCUUUAAAAAAAAAUCACUUUCCUUCUUAAAACCAGGUUCAAGAACUGAUGUGUUAGACUCCCUUACAACACAGACUGCCUCACUCCCAGUGAGAUGGACCACUUACCUGCUCUCUACUACUAAUGGCUGGCAAAUCCCCUCAGAAUAAAUCUCUUGACUAAUUUCUGUCAGGAUGCCCUUUAAAUGUAUGGCAAGAUCUCUGAAGUGGUAAGCUCCCUUUGUUUUGACAGUAUUAAAAGUUUUUUUCCCAAUACCAAAUAGGGAUAAUGCAGAGUCACAUCCUGUUAAUGUGUGUGCAGCAAGAAGUAUGUUGCAGAAGUUAGGAGUGAGCGUGUCAUAAAUUGCAUGCACGGGUGUGAAGUGACGCUAGUCAGUUGUGUUGGUAAUGGUGCCUGUUUCUAUCCGCAUGUUAUCUGUGUAUUCCCUGUUUGGAAAGUAAUGAACAGCAAACACAAAAACAUCUGUAUCAAGUGACCUAGUUACUAUGGUUCCUUUGACACCAAAAGCCAUAUUGGCACACAGCAUGCAGAAACAUUCUUGUGUCUGUUUCUCCUUGAGUACUGUAUAAAAGUCUUGGGCUUCUUCAACACCUCUAUUGGUGAUGGAUUUUGCUACUUCACAAUUGGAAAAGCCUCCAGCAAGGAGUGUUUGUGUUGGGUGUGCUCUUACAUUCUCAGGUGCAUUUUGAGCCAUAUAUCCACAGAAGAAUUUUACAAGUGACUGCUUGUUGGAUGCCAUGUUUAGAAACUUUUUCCAUGGAGACACAGGGUGUCCACCAAUCACCUGGUAUUUCUUUCAUCCAAACUUAGAUCCUGUCCAGCACUGUUUUUCUACGGUUUUCACAGAGUUAUUGUUGUCAUAUCUAGCAAAGACUUCGAUUACAGAAUGAACUUUGUCAAAUCCUUUUAGGACCUGCCUCAGGUACUCAGCAGCCAAUUCACUGAAUGUGCGGAAUUUGUCUCCAACCAUCAUUUGUGUGACAUCCAUGACAUCACUGAUUUACACUGUGGUUUCUUUGUUGCAUGCUCUUAGCUCAUGGAUUCUUGCAGUUUAA
Molecule: long non-coding RNA, 1125 nt
Filed under: Chrysemys picta bellii (western painted turtle)
Lineage: Eukaryota; Metazoa; Chordata; Testudines; Emydidae
Description: lncRNA (ENSCPBG00000026590.1)
Source: RNAcentral